GCCUUCGUAGUGUAGUGGUCAGCACGCUGGGCGUGUAUUCCAGAGCUCCGUGGUUCGAGUCCCGACGGAGAGCA
This is a non-coding RNA of Stegodyphus mimosarum, 74 nucleotides long. NCBI's taxonomy places the organism in Eukaryota, Metazoa, Arthropoda, Arachnida, Araneae, Eresidae. The record is from Rfam.